Molecule: long non-coding RNA, 525 nt
Organism: Homo sapiens (human)
Lineage: Eukaryota; Metazoa; Chordata; Mammalia; Primates; Hominidae
Exons: 3
Source: RefSeq, a predicted model, not a curated record
AACUCAGACUCUCAAGGUAUUGCCCCAGCUCCCUGGACCUGCAGCAGAGACACAAACCAAGAAACCGAAAUCCCGGGAACAGACACGGACCACAAGCGCUUCCUCCCAUAGCCCUGAAACCAUCAGAGAAUCUCAAAGUUGGAAGAGCUCUUGAAGAUUUGAAUCUCUUCCCCAGCUUUGGAACUCAAAACACAUCACGCCGAAAGAUGCCCUAUCCAUCCAUGGAAGCCCGUCCUCUUUUUUCUCCUCCUCCUUUCCACACCUGUAUAGAGCCUAUCCAGUUGCGAAGGGCCUGCCUGUGCAUUCUCACGUCUGACCUGCCACUUGUCUUGUGUAGGAGGGUGUAGAGAAAGGCCUGGAGGAUUCACGAGGGGAAAUGAAGAAUAAGGUCCUUUAGGAGGUCAUAGACGUUGCUGUCAGAGGCGCCGUACACCAGGCUGUUGGCGAAGACACUCCUGAGGAACUGCACGGGCUCCAGCCACGACUGGAUGAGCAGCAGGGAGAUGCGGAGCAGCUCUAGGUUCU